GCUGGGUAUGGUGGUGCAUGCCUGUAAUCCCAGCUACUCGGGAAGCUGAGGCAGGAGAAUCACUUGAACCUGGGAAGCAGAGGUUGCAGUGAGCCAAGAUCACACCACUGCACUCUAGCCUGGGUGACAGAGUGAGACUCUGUCUCAA
Molecule: non-coding RNA, 148 nt
Filed under: Gorilla gorilla gorilla (western lowland gorilla)
Lineage: Eukaryota; Metazoa; Chordata; Mammalia; Primates; Hominidae
Source: Rfam by way of RNAcentral